CUUGCAUGCAUGUGCCGGCCCUUCUAUAAAUAGGGCAUAGCUGGCACGCUAUCUUCCAAGACAAAGCUUGCAAAGCUCUAUCGAACCUGUUAUCAAGAAGCAUAUACAGAAAUGGCUGCAAAGUUCCCACUCCUCCUUGGCGUCGUAUUGGUCGCUCUCCUACUCGUCUCCCAGGAUGUAGCGCAUGCAGCAGAAGAAACGAUGCCUGCGCAACGUCCAGACGGGUAUAGUGGAUAUGGGCCUGGUUACCUUGGUGGCUACGACAACAACGGCGGAGGAGCCGGUCAAAAUGGCGGUGGUGGUGGUGGCAGCGGCUAUCCUUGAGGUGAAUAUUAUGGGGUGGCGGUCAAAAUGGUGAAUGUCACUCUAGAAACCAAAUAUAUAUGGUUUGUAUCCAUAUAUCAAAUAAGGAGCGUCUUCAUCUGCUCGAGCGUUUACUUGCUAGCAUGGCCGAUAUGAUAGUAUUGCGAGCUAGUAAAUGUAUGAUCACUUGUGUAUGCAUGACAUAUGCUGACUUUUAGAUAUGGUGGCAACGGUCAUGCGUACAUAUGUAUUUGAACAAUAUCCAUAAAUGGACCUAUUUCCAGUUAA
Molecule: long non-coding RNA, 591 nt
Organism: Aegilops tauschii subsp. strangulata
Lineage: Eukaryota; Viridiplantae; Streptophyta; Magnoliopsida; Poales; Poaceae
Source: RefSeq, a predicted model, not a curated record